This 22-nucleotide microRNA is filed under the name Scyliorhinus torazame (cloudy catshark). RNAcentral's name for it is "Sto-Mir-155_3p* (star (passenger))". The record is from RNAcentral. Lineage: Eukaryota; Metazoa; Chordata; Chondrichthyes; Carcharhiniformes; Scyliorhinidae.
CUCCUACAUAUUAGCAUUAGCU